Molecule: long non-coding RNA, 280 nt
Filed under: Selaginella moellendorffii
Lineage: Eukaryota; Viridiplantae; Streptophyta; Lycopodiopsida; Selaginellales; Selaginellaceae
Description: long non-coding RNA (SMOE_LNC001093)
Source: RNAcentral
CAAGUUCAUCUCGGGAACCAAGUACAUCGACCUUACUCCCGAGAUGGACAAGCUUUACAGGGACGAGCUCCGAGUGAUCAAGUCGCGGGACGAGCUCCUGUCAGUAAACAUCGUCAGGAAGCUGCUGAUGAUGGCUGUAGAGCAGGAGAUAUCACUCACCAAGAUUUCGUGGCUGGCGGCCGACUUUGGCCUUCCUCGAGACUUGGACACCGGCCUGGUCCACAGGUACCCGAAGUUUUUCAAUGUGAGAGAGACCAACCGGGGUCCGGUGCUCAAGCUU